GCCCAGGUUUCCAGGCUCCCCCUCCUCCAACUUUCACAUUUUGCCCCCACCCCAGGGGGAAGGGUGGCAUGACUCAGCUCAGGCUUCCUUCGUGGCACAGCAUAGUAAGGCACCCCACAGCUGGGAAGUGCCUAAGGGUGAGGCUGGGGCGCCCACAUGGCGUAUGGCCCAGGGAGCCCAUGGCUUGUGCUGGUGUGGCCUGUGAGACGUAAAGCCACCCGAGGCGUGCAGCCCCCACUGCUUAGAAGUUCAGCAGCUCUGUGGUAAGGCAUGGAGUCUUGAUUUGAAGACACCAGGAGAUGGAGACUAUGCCAUUCCUUUUGCAGGAAAAUCUGUCGACCCUCCAUUAUGCAUAAGCUACACAUCAGCCUGAGAAUCUGAGAAAGGAUGCAGUUGCACUCAGCACCACAAAGCCAAACUCAGAGGAGGAUCCAGAACAGGUUCAGUGGAGUGGUGACAUCCCCAUUUCUGACCAUGCCACAGAAGCAGCAUCUGGAGACUUUUUUAAAUCGAGGGAGGGAGCCCUGCAUACCCUUUGUUUGCCUGGUUUAUGAAAAGUACCCUGAACUGCAAGCACCUGAAAGAAGUUUUAAUGUGGGUAUAACAUGAUGGUGGAAGGAUUUCAUGUGCAGGUGAUGGGGGUGAGAUGAAACACACCUAAGCCUGUCGCUUUAACUGAAGUCAUAUCUGCACUGCAGACUUACUGUGCCAGGCAGCAUGAGGCUGAAAUGCUGUGCACUGCUCCACUGAACUGGACACAGAGUAGCCAUGCCUGGGUGUGACAAAACCCUGGGUGUCUGGAUGCUCCCAGCAUUACGCCUUGGGUUUGUGUAAAUGUAUUGGUCCCCCACUCUGCUGAAUGGGAAUGUGCAGGUUAUUAAUUUGCCCAGAAAUCAUGAUUUGCCACUGGUAUUUUGGUAAAGUAACAGAAAAACAAAAGGGUUUAUGACAAGGAAGAGCAAAUGAUAUGAAAAAUAAAAGGUGAUCAAAUGCUUUGACAACAGAACAAAACUGAAAAAAUCCUUACCCUGCAUUUACACUACCACUCAGCCCCCAUAAAAAUUCCUGUGAAAAUUUCCCAGGGUCCACCUCCCCUCAGUCACAGCUAGCUCCCUCAGCUGGGAAUCUCCAUUCCCCCUCUCCUCGCCAGGAACCCUUUCCCUCUCAUCAUUCCCUAAUGGUUGUGGCAUCCACCUCCUCCCCUGCCUACCUUCAAGGGAGCCAGAGAAUCCUCUAGAGCAGUGGUGCUCAAGGUUUUGGCCCUGUAGGCCGGAAGAGUGAUGCUGGGCUAGUCCACAGGUGAAUUGAGUCCUGCAUACCAGGAUUGGGCCCUGCUCUGCCUCCACCUGGCCCCACAUGCUGGGAUAGGUCCUUGGGUCCUCACAUGCCAGAAUCAAGCUCAGGCCCAGUACUGACCCUACUCAACCCCAUAAGCUGGGCUCAGGUCAUGGGGCCCCAUGCAUUUGGAUUGGGCUCUGGUGGCCAGUAUUGCCCACUCUUGGCCUCAUGUGCUGGAAUUGGGCCUGACACACUGGGAUUGGGUUGUGGGUCCUAGUGCUGCCCCCACCUAACCCCACACUCCAGGACUGGAGCGCACACUGCCCUGCACAUACGAUCUGGUAUGGAGGGCUCAGCAUUCUCCACAGAUCUGGAAAUUUGGCAAUAAGAGAAUAGUACCACUGCCCCCACCCCCCCCCACCCCCGACCAAGUUUUCAAACUCAUGGGGAGCCCCAUAGACUAGUGCCUGAGAGCCAGAUCUGGCCCGCAGGCUGGAGGUUGAAUACCCCUGUUCUAGAGUUUUUUUACCUAUGGAUCAGUAACAUCAUGCCUGACUGCAGGCAAGUUAAUUAGCCCCAGGGCAGCUCAAUCUGCAUGUAGUUGUGUUAAUUAGCCCUCCUGCAGCACUAUGUGGAUGUAAUUAUACCUGAAGUGUCAAACCACCUAGUUCUGUAGGCCAGAUUAGUGACAUGGGGUUGGUGUGCGGACCAGAUUGGGCUGGUGUGUGGGGUUGGUCCACGCUGGAUCUAGCCAGUCCAUGGCUACAGUUUGUUUGUUUUUCAGAUCUGGCUGCAGGCUGACCCCACACAUUGGCCUGAUCCUGUCACACAGACCUGCCCCAUAUACUGAAUCAGGACGCUAAUGACUCUGUGGACCAAAACCAUGUGCUGGACCCAGAGUUGAAUUGACCCCACACUCCAGCCCAAUCCAGCCCACUGACUGGCCCCACAUGCCAAAUUGGGCUGCAGACUAAACCUUCAUGCUGACUGGAUCCAGUACAUAGAGUUAUGUCACCUGGUCCACGAGGUUCCCCAGGGCAGCUGCUACACACAGGGCAGUACCAACUACCACUGUGCCAAUGAUGAUGAUGUAGUCAGUUACUGCUGUGGUGACCUUCAAGACCUGAAGGUCUGUAAGGAUCUAACAUUGUCUCCAUGAAAAGCUCUCUGCCUUGUCUGUAAACAAAGGAAUUGAGGAAUUUUGGCAGAGGUUUAAAACCUCCAUCCAUAGGCCUGUGCUGAAUCCAUUGCCUAUAUCACCUCUCAACACCAAGACUGGCUCGAUGAGACCAGUGCUGAAUUUCAAACCCUCUUCAACCGGAAGAGAAGAGCUCAUUCUGCUUGGCAAGGUGACACUUCAUCUCAGCAGAAGAAGGAGAUGUAUCAGCUCCUCAAAACUGAAGCUCAAAGGAGGAUCCAGGAAAUCAAAAAUCAGUCAUGGCAAGACAAAGCCAAGGAGAUCCAGCUCUAUGCUGACAAAUGUGACAUGCAUAGUUUUUUUCCAGGCAAUAAAAACCAUCUACGGCCCAGCUUUCCACAGUCCUACUUUCCUGUGAUUGCAGGAUAGGUUAACACUCCUCAAAGACAAUUAAUCUAUCCAAGCUAGAUGGAAAGAGCACUUUGAGGCACUCCUGAACUGUGAGUUGUCUGUGGCAGAUAUCACCAUUGAGUCCAUCACCUAGCAUCCCCUAUCCUAAAUGAAGUCUGGCAUGCCAUCAAGAAAACCAAGAACAACAAGGUUACUGGUCCGGAUGGCAUACCUGUUGAAAUUUACAAGGCUGGAAGUAAAGAAUUGGUACUGAGACUCCACAAAUUUAUUCUCCAAAUUUAGAACAACAGAGAGAUCCCUGAGACCUGAGGAAUGCCAACAUCAUGACUAUCUUCAAAAAAGGGGAUAAGUCUGUGUGUGGGAUCUAUCAAGGUAUCACCCUCCUUUCCAUAACAGGCAAAAUCUUUUCCCAUAUUAUUCUGAAUUGUCUUCUACCUAUUGCCGAGGAAGUCCUGCCAGAAUCUCAGUGUGGUUUUCCUAGGGCAAUUGACAUCAUCUUUGUUGCCCAUCAGGUCCAAGAAAAGUGUCAGGCACAGCAUCGGGACCUGUACAUGGCUUUCAUUGACCUUACUAAGUAGGGCUGUGCAAGACUUCGGACCAUGCUUCGGAUCUGGAGAAGCUUCAGACUCUUCGGUGUCUGAAGCAGCAUGUCUGGAUCAAAGCACUGGCUUCGUUAGGCUCUCCGAAGUGGUUUGUAGUUUCCAAAGUGCUUUGUAAAAGCUUUGGAGCCGCUUCGGAGAUCUGGCCAUAGGGUAUAAUGGA
Alligator mississippiensis (American alligator) is the source of this 3589-nucleotide long non-coding RNA. RefSeq lists it as uncharacterized. The transcript is spliced from 3 exons. The record is from RefSeq and is a predicted model, not a curated record. Lineage: Eukaryota; Metazoa; Chordata; Crocodylia; Alligatoridae.